Molecule: long non-coding RNA, 289 nt
Organism: Cervus elaphus (red deer)
Lineage: Eukaryota; Metazoa; Chordata; Mammalia; Artiodactyla; Cervidae
Exons: 2
Source: RefSeq, a predicted model, not a curated record
CCCAGGUGACUGAGUGGUAAGGAAUCUGCCUGCCGAUGCAGGACAUCCACGUGAUGUGGGUUCGAUCCUUGGGUCAGGAAGAUCCCCUGGAAGAAGAGAUGGCAACCCACUCCAGUAUCCUUUCCUGGGAAAUCUAUGGACAGAGCCCGCAGAACACCUUGGACCAGCUUUUUACUCUAGAAUUCACUGUCGUCCCGCCCAGCUUCCUCCUUCACCAACAUGCAAGUUCUUUUCCUUCCCUGCCAGCCACAUAGACAGAUGGGAGAGGCAGGCGCGGCCUACGUUGUCA